RNAcentral lists this long non-coding RNA (271 nucleotides) under Setaria viridis. RNAcentral describes it as "long non-coding RNA (SVIR_LNC003944)". The record is from RNAcentral. Lineage: Eukaryota; Viridiplantae; Streptophyta; Magnoliopsida; Poales; Poaceae.
CUCCAAGUCAUCAAAUGUGGUGUUUCCUACACAAUUUAUUAGCAUAAGCUUUCUUUCUUUCCUCGCCAUCCUAGUGCUUCAGAAUCUCAUCCAUGAUUGCUAAGCUCUGGCCAACCUUCAUGAAAUAAAUUGAGUUUUUUUUUCAGUUCAAAAGAGAAAAAAGAAAUGUAUCAAGUGGAGACGCCCGAAUCGAUCAACCAAAGCAAAUUCCGUUCUUCUCUUUCUCAUCAUUGCAUCCUUUCGUCGCCAUUCAUCUUUUAAUAUUCCCCAC